RNAcentral lists this ribosomal RNA (468 nucleotides) under uncultured bacterium. Its description in RNAcentral is "partial 16S ribosomal RNA". It matches the Rfam family "Bacterial small subunit ribosomal RNA", at positions 28 to 507 of the family's 1533-position model. The record is from RNAcentral.
GACGAACGCUGGCGGCGUGCUUAACACAUGCAAGUCGAACGGAAAGGCUCUGCUUGUGUGGUUCGCUCGAGUGGCGAACGGGUGAGUAACACGUGAGUAACCUGCCCUGGACGUUGGGAUAACUUCAGGAAACUGGGGCUAAUACCGGAUAGGAGCUCCUGCUGCAGGGUGGGGGUCGGAAAGUUUCGGCGGUGGGGGAUGUACUCGCGGCUUAUCAGCUUGUGGGUGGGGUAGUGGCGUUCCAAGGCUUUGGCGGGUAGCCGGCCUGGGAGGGUGACCGGACCCGUCAGGUCUGAGCUACGGCCCAGACUCCUCCCGGAGGCAGCGGUGGGGAGUAUUGCACUGCGGGCGGAAGCCUGCUGCAGCGCCGCCGCGUGCGGUAUGCCGGCCUUGGGGUUGUGAACCGCUUCCGCCUCUGACGAGGCGUGAGUGACGGUAAUGGGUAAAGAAGCCCCGGCUAACUACGUG